CCAUUCGCCUGCGCCGUCCCUGCCCACGAGCUCUUCCGCUCGUUGCAUCAAGCGCUCCGUUUCCAACCGGUUAAUGAUUGCACAAUCUAUUCUCUCGUGUUCUCUAAUAUAAAAAAAUCGAUCUACUGGUGAACCUUAUCUUAACUGCAUCCUUCUUAGGUUUCUCUCUUGCACUGCAGUGGGGUGACUCUUAAUUUUUCUACUCCUUAUGCACAAAGUUAAGGUAUUCUGACUGCAAGAUAUAUGCCACCAAUGACACCCUGUUCUGUUUGGGGUCCAAAUAUGCUAGGUGCGUUUGUAACAAAAAAAACUAACCCAGGCCGUGGAUUCGGCAUUGUAACUUGGACCGAUCUUUCAAUCUAUUAAUACAACGACGCGCAGUUCUCCUGCGCGUUCGAGAAAAAAAAUAUGCUAGGUAUGGUUUCUGAACAUUUUAUUCAGUUCCCCGAUUUUGGAAAAUUCUGGUGUCAAUAUUUUGUUGAUUGAAGUCCGUAUCAUCUGGUGGAAGAUAUUCUGAAUUGAAGCACUGUUUUUUCACACCAAAUCAAUGCACUUCUUUCAUUUCAAUAUUUUGUUAUAAAUUUAGAAAUGCUAUGCUCCUAAGUACAUCCUAAAUUUCUCAGUUUUUAGUUGGUUCUGCAGCAGUGUUGUCCAGGGAGUGCUAUUGGUAGAGCUUCCUUAUGCCCAGCAUGGUCCAUGACCCCAAGGCCCCAAUGGCUAUUUGUCAUGUCCAUUAAUAGGAUUACUUGGUAAGGCUUGAAAUUAGCCAAUUAAUAUAUACAAGAAUAGUAUUGUUUGCAUGAAAACAACAAUUUGAUAUGAAGAGGUCAGUUAAUAUAACAUGGCAUAGUUAAUUUAGUACAAUUUGCUUGUGAAUACUCCAGAGGAUGAUAUAGAAUGCAGGUAGCGUGGAGCAUGGUGAACAAUUAAUAUGUGUGAUUUUGCUGGAUAGCUUUCUAAGUUCUCAUUUGAUUAGUGAUUUUCAGAUCUUUUCUUAAUUCAGAUUCGAUAAUGGAUUGGGAUCAUGUGUUGUGCCCUAACAGAACAAUUAAACCUGUAUUUUUUUCCCUUGCCUGAUUCUAAUGUUCCCAUGUGCUGCAGCCUUCAGCUUUUAUGUGAUGGCUAUAACGACUCCUAAACAAGAAGUGUAACAAACAUAAUUAUGUCUCGCCUUGAGAAUUUUAAGGAUGCGGCUCUGGACUUAGUGAUGAGCCAUUGACGGAGCAUGGCCACCACUGGAUUGGCUAUGAUAUUUUGAAGUCGAUGCUGCUUGGGACGCUUCCCUUAGCUUGGCCCAACAGAAUGAAGAUUGCUCUAGGUGCUGCAAAAGUCCUAGCCUUUCUCCAGAGAGGUCCCAAACCAGUUAUUUAUACGGAUCCAUGGACAAGAAAGCGGCCUACAGGGGAGCAAAGCAUGAAGAAAGUACCUGACUGCCCAUGUUGUUCGUGAUUCGUAUUUAGCAAUUCUUCCUAGGAUCAGUUGUCCUUUCGUUUAAGGCAAGGAAUGUGAAUACAUUUACAUGUCAUGACAACCAUUUGAUAUGUCAUUAUUUCAAUUGUCAGGUUACCAUAUUAGGGUUGACCUCUGUUUUGCUUGUCUGAACAGUUAAUUUAACGACAUGCUCCUAAUGUAAACACCUCUAUGAUAUAACUUAUCAUCUUUGUACGUCA
Panicum virgatum (switchgrass) is the source of this 1670-nucleotide long non-coding RNA. RefSeq lists it as uncharacterized. The record is from RefSeq and is a predicted model, not a curated record. The transcript has 3 exons. Lineage: Eukaryota; Viridiplantae; Streptophyta; Magnoliopsida; Poales; Poaceae.